This 462-nucleotide ribosomal RNA is filed under the name uncultured bacterium. Its description in RNAcentral is "bacterial SSU rRNA". It matches the Rfam family "Bacterial small subunit ribosomal RNA", at positions 28 to 507 of the family's 1533-position model. The record is from RNAcentral.
GACGAACGCUGGCGGCGCGCUUAACACAUGCAAGUCGUGCGGUGUCGAAGGCAAGUCUUACGACAAGCCUUCGACACAGCGGCGAACGGGUGAGUAACACGUGAGUAGCUGUCCUAAGGAGGGGGAUAACGCCUGGAAACGGGUGCUAAUACCCCAUAUGCCUCGCAAGAGGUAAAAGUGUACUUGUUACAGCCUUAGGGUGUGCUCGCGGCCUAUCAGCUAGUUGGUGAGGUAACGGCUCACCAAGGCUAAGACGGGUAGCCGGCCUGAGAGGGUGUACGGCCACACUGGGACUGAGACACGGCCCAGACUCCUACGGGGGGCAGCAGUAGGGAAUUUUCGGCAAUGGGCGAAAGCCUGACCGAGCGACGCCGCGUGAGGGACGAAGGCCUUCGGGUUGUAAACCUCUGUCUGGGGGAUGAGAACGGACGGUACCCCGGAGGAAGCCCGGCUAACUACGUG